CAAGGCAGUUCCCCUUAUAUAGCCACAAAUAGCUCCCCUCUCCGCAGAAACAGGAAACCUUGAAUCUUCUGGGCAGAAUAGCUUAAAAAUACAACCCCUUCCCCCGCAAACUCCUCCUCCGGGGAACAACAGCCUGCCCUUCUGUCCAGACACCUCUCACAUGCAGAUAUUUGCCCUCCAUCGCUCCCCCCUUCCAAAUAAACAAAGACGUUUCUUACCCGAUGAACAACAGCAGAGGAUAUUGCAGCAUGGACGCCCCUUCCUGUGCUGCAAUCCACUGACAACACCCUUGGCACUCAGCCUGUUGGGGCCCUCUUCUGGCUGUAUCUAGCUAUCCCGACACUUCCGCAGUUUAGCUCUAAUCAUGGAUUUUUAUGUGGUGAGAGACCAUCAGAUACAGAAAACAUCCUAGUCCCCCAGAGGGAUCCACCCCUCUAAUAGGAAGGUGUAUGAGAAGGCUGUGAAUGGUUUGGAGAGGGAGGCUCUGUCCAUGAUGUCUCUGGAGACUGGAAGGAUGGUCUGGGAAUUGAUGUGUUUAGGAUUUCUGUUCUAAGCGUAUAUGGCUAUAGUUACCUUUACCAUCUUUAUCUUGGGUGCAGCUCCUCCUUCCAAAGAAGUCAGAGAUGCCAGCUGAAAAAUUUAAGAUCUGUUGUAUCUCCCCUUGAACAUAGGGAAACAGGAUCUUCAGGGAUGACCCAUGCUGAAAAGGUUUUUCUUCCAAAAAAGUCAGAGAUGCCAGCUGAAAAAUUUCACAUCUGUUGUAUCUCCCCUUGAACAUGGGGAAACAGUGUCAUGGCCAUCAUAGAGGACAUUCCAGUUUUCUGUUACCCUGUCAUCUGUCCUCUAUUGAUAUGAAACUCAACACCUUUAUGCUACACGGCCCUAGACUCACCUUUACCUCCCCAUGCUGCAUACCUCACUGUCCCACUCCCUGGGGAUAGGGCAGGAAGUGGCAGCCAGAGGAGCCCCCAGCUGCUAUUGCAGACAGAGCAACAGUGGGAGCAGCAGCUGAGCAGGUCCCCAGGAUCUGCAACUUAACCCCUACAACUUGGACAUCUUGCAUUAAAGUCUGCUAGUUCCCGGUGUUCAGCAUGUGACCAGUCCAGUCCUUUUCUCUUGAAGAGAAAAAUAGAGGACAUAAAGGCAUCCGGUUUUGUAGCAAUAGAGGACAGAGGACAACUGGAUUGUCCUCUGUGAUGGCCACCCUAGGGAUCUUCAGGGAUGACCGACACUGAAAAGUUUCAGGCUGUUUCCAGUAGAGGUGCAUCGAUACAUCAGUCUGAUAUCGGAUUGGCACCAAUAUAAAGAAAAUUGACUAUAUCGGAAAUUGGCAUUAUGUGGCCGAUAAUUUGGCCAAUAAAUGCCUGUGCAUGUGCACAGCCACAGUGUAGUAUGCAGGCAGCAAGGAGCGUAGCCUGGCAGCAUGAAGAGCUGCAUGCAGCUGCAAAAAGCUAUUGGUCACAAGGCUGGAUGAUGUAUUAAAAGUAACUAACUUUGCAAAUGCUUAGGCAAGCGGUUUUCUAAACAAAGUAGUGUUAGAGCCCAUUGUGUAAGAAGAACAAGAUGCAGGCCAUCAGCUAUCGUCAGGAGAUAAGAUGGAAGCCAAACCUUGGAGAUGGUGCUGAAAUCAGCAAAGAACAAGAAAGAACCAGCAAGUGACCGAGAGUACCCGAGUUCAUGGUCUUAGGCGCGCGCUCUUAGCAGAGAGGCAUGUAAAUGAAGGAAAUGCAUCGGCAAUUCCAUGUUAAUGAAGUAAACAAUAAACAAAGGUAAACAAUAAACAAAGGUGGAACUUGAGAUGGGAGGAGAAAUGGGUAGAACCAGAGGUGGAACAAGGGUGGAGUAAAUAUUAAUAUGUAUGAACCAAGGUGUAUAAAUGUUGGAAAAAACUGUUGUUUAGGACUGCUGCCCAUCGUUUAUGGCGAGAGCUCACCCAAAGCUGCCUCCAUUCUGAAUAAAAGCUGUUGCGAGCAA
This is a long non-coding RNA of Alligator mississippiensis (American alligator), 1974 nucleotides long. RefSeq lists it as uncharacterized. Lineage: Eukaryota; Metazoa; Chordata; Crocodylia; Alligatoridae. The record is from RefSeq and is a predicted model, not a curated record. The transcript is spliced from 4 exons.